This 301-nucleotide ribosomal RNA is filed under the name uncultured bacterium. RNAcentral describes it as "partial 16S ribosomal RNA". It matches the Rfam family "Bacterial small subunit ribosomal RNA", at positions 509 to 807 of the family's 1533-position model. The record is from RNAcentral.
CAGCAGCCACGGUAAUACGAAGGGUGCAAGCGUUACUCGGAAUUACUGGGCGUAAAGCGUGCGUAGGUGGUGGUUUAAGUCCGUCGUGAAAGCCCUGGGCUCAACCUGGGAAUUGCAGUGGAUACUGGGUCACUAGAGUGGGGUAGAGGAUAGUGGAAUUUCCGGUGUAGCAGUGAAAUGCGUAGAGAUCGGAAGGAACAUCUGUGGCGAAGGCGACUAUCUGGGCCAACACCGACACUGAGGCACGAAAGCGUGGGGAGCAAACAGGAUUAGAUACCCCCGUAGUCCCUGUCUCUUAUAC